This 481-nucleotide ribosomal RNA is filed under the name uncultured bacterium. RNAcentral describes it as "partial 16S ribosomal RNA". It matches the Rfam family "Bacterial small subunit ribosomal RNA", at positions 28 to 507 of the family's 1533-position model. The record is from RNAcentral.
GAUGAACGCUGGCGGCGUGCUUAACACAUGCAAGUCGAACGAAACACCUUAUUUGAUUUUCUUCGGAACUGAAGAUUUGGUGAUUGAGUGGCGGACGGGUGAGUAACGCGUGGGUAACCUGCCCUGUACAGGGGGAUAACAGUCAGAAAUGACUGCUAAUACCGCAUAAGACCACAGCACCGCAUGGUGCAGGGGUAAAAACUCCGGUGUUACAGGAUGGACCCGCGUCUGAUUAGCUGGUUGGUGAGGUAACGGCUCACCAAGGCGACGAUCAGUAGCCGGCUUGAGAGAGUGAACGGCCACAGUGGGACUGAGACACGGCCCAAACUCCUACGGGAGGCAGCAGUGGGGAAUAUUGAACAAUGGGGGAAACCCUGAUGCAGCGACGCCGCGUGAGUGAAGAAGUAUUUAGGUAUGUAAAGCUCUAUCAGCAGGGAAGAAAAUGACGGUACCUGACGAAGAAGCCCCGGCUAACUACGUG